Molecule: ribosomal RNA, 298 nt
Filed under: uncultured bacterium
Lineage: Bacteria
Description: partial 16S ribosomal RNA
Rfam family: Bacterial small subunit ribosomal RNA
Source: RNAcentral
ACUCCUACGGGAGGCAGCAGUGGGGAAUAUUGCACAAUGGGCGCAAGCCUGAUGCAGCCAUGCCGCGUGUGUGAAGAAGGCCUUCGGGUUGUAAAGCACUUUCAGUCGUGAGGAAGGUAGCGUAGUUUAAAUAGGCCUGCUAUAUUUUUGAACGUUAGCGACAGAAGAAGCACCGGCUAACUCCGUGCCAGCAGCCGCGGUAAUACGGAGGGUGCGAGCGUUAAUCGGAAUUACUGGGCGUAAAGCGCAUGCAGGUGGUUUGUUAAGUCAGAUGUGAAAGCCCGGGGCUCAACCUCGG